CCCAAAGUAGAGGGCUCAGUUAAGCCAUACUGGUGGUAAUGAAUGUGAAAAAAGCUAAAAUGAAUGUGUUGUCUGGGCUACAUUACCACUGAGAGCUUGGGGUCCACUUCCAAGCUCAUUUUGUUUUGUCAUAAUUCAAUUUCUUAUGGUAGUUGUCUUGAUUUUCUUGGUGGUUAUCAACUGGGACCCACUGUCAGCCACUAGAGGCCAGUCUGAGGUCCCUGCCCCAUGGCUCCCUUCCAUCUGGCUGUUAUUUUAAGUCUCCAAGUUUUUUGUUAUGCAGCUAUAGAAAAUCAAUACAAUCAAAGUAGAAUAUGGUGAUGGGUGCUGUGCAAGAAGAAGGAGGGAAGAAGGAAGCUGAGUGUGCAGCAAAGACACCUGCAGGGACACACAGAACCAGGCAUUUGCUGAAGGACACCUGGAUUGCACAACCAGUGGCUAACUUGCAUGAAAAAAACAUUCUAGAAUACAGCUCAUGGAAGGUCAGAAUGUAUAAGAAUCUGUUUAUUGGAUACCUUCAAAGUCACUAAGGUACCUUCUUUUGUCCCUAACAAAUGCUAAUGGUAUUGACAUUCAGUUUUCUUAGUGUUAUCUUCUUCCUUAGGCAAUUGGCUGUGUCAUCUCAUUAUAUGCAUGGCUUGAAAGAGGAACCUAGUUCUAAAGCUUGAAGUGGUUUAUUGAUCCUAAAAGAUGAGGUAAUUCACUGUGCAACAUAAUUCAAGCCUUUAAGAUCAACUACGCAUUUCUCACGCAAUAAUCAGGAAGAGAAGUCUCAAAAUUCAAAAUAGCGUUGCUUAAGCAUGCUCACAAUCAUUUAUUCAGAUCAAAAUCCAAUCCUUAAAAUUUACUCUGAAUCACUCUCAUGAUGUACCUCCUUAAAUAACAGUAAGAUUCCUCCAUUUGUAUAACAUUAGUAAUUAUUACUAAUUGUCCUAAUAAUGCUAUCUACAUCUGGUUAAUUCCUAUCAUUGUACCUCCUACAAUGUGAUUAAUGUCAGGAGUGGGGAAUUUUAUGUAUUAAAUUUCUUCUUAAAGGUUACACCCUGGAAAUGUGAGGGAAAGUAUUUGUGGCAAUGGGAUGUCACCCAACUAUAAGGUUAACAAGAAUGACCAAACAAUAAAAGGAAUCAUACGUUUUCGAAAUCACCAAGAGUAAACCAAAUUAUAAUUCUGUUUUAGAAACAUGAGAAUGAAUAUUUAUGGUACAGAUAGGCAGCUCUUAGAUGGAAUAUUGAAUCUUUUUCUUAAAGCUAUUUGGAGGAGAUCAUCAGAAAACGUGUGAUUGCUUUUUCUUUAUAUGAUCUUGGCCCACAAAUAGUCUUUCCACAAAUAUUUUUUGGGAUAGAGACAGUUUUGUGCUUCAGAAGCUAAUAAAAAUAGCUUUUUAAUUUUUUUUUACUACCUGACGGUCACCAUUUUAGGAAAUUUACUAAUAUUAUCUCAUUUUGUUCUUAUAGCAGAUACUAUUUACUAUCCACAUUUUAUUGAUAAGGAAACUGACAAAGAGCUUAAAUAAGUUGCUCAACAUCAUGCAGGUAAGAAGUGGUAGAGCUGGGAUUUGGUUUCCGUGUCUUACUCUAUUCUAAACCAUGCCAUUUAAUACAGAUCAUUAUUUGUAGAUGUGUAUUUUUAAAAAGGCCACUGUUAGCUUGAACAGCCCAUUCACUGUACAUUUUUAAAACAAUAGCUGUACACCAUUAGAGCUGUGCAAUUCUAAUUCAUUAAUUUUACAGAUGAGAAAGUUGAUACUCGUAAGGGUAAGGUAUGUAUCCAAAUGUCCAACAUCAGGCUACCCGUUGGUGUAAAAGGUGGCUUAAAAUCUAGUAUUCUCACUCCUGACUGGGUCCUCUUCCCACUGACCACACUGUCACCAAUAUACCCUCAUCAAGGAAAUCUUUAUUAAGAUAAAGAUUGCAAGUUUGUAGUACUUAUUAAUAAUAUAUAUCUUUUGUAUAAAAAUCAUCUCCAAGCAUAAUGUCACCUAAUGUCUUAUAGCAUAUUUUAUAAUGCAACACACACACACACACACACACACACACACACACACGGGUUUUUUUUUCCCCUGAUUUUUAAUUUUUCUCAGUAGAACAUAAGAAAAAUCCUUCUUAUGUCCUUCAGGAGUGAAGGCAAUAAUCACUCUUGUUCAAAAGGUCAUAUUUAUAUUAUUUUAGAUAUUAUUGCAUCUUUUUUAUAAUGUUAGCAUGUUUCAGUUUUUGAAGCCUUGAAGCCAGUGUGUGUGUGUGCGUGCGUGCGUAUGUUACAUUAUUGGGGAUUGGGGCACAUGGUACAGUGAAAAAUACAGCCACAGAAAUAACUGGCUUGGAAAGCUCCUGUAUCAACCUUUAGGUUAAAACUACCUGGGUAAUGUCCGGGUGCGGUGGCUCACGCCUGUAAUCCCAGCACUUUGGGAGGCCUAGGCGGGUGGAUCACAAAGUCAGGAGAUGGAGACCAUCAUGGCUAACACAGUGAAACCCUGUCUCUACUAAAAAUACAAAAAAUUAGCCGGGCGUGGCGGUGUGUGUUUGUAGCCCCAGCCACUCGGGAGGCUGAGGCAGGAGAGUGGCCUGAACCCGGGAGGCGGAGCUUGCAGUGAGCCAGAUGGCGCCACUGCACUCCAGCCUGGGCGACAGAGCAAGACUCCAUCUCAAAAAAAACAAAAACAAAAACAAACAAACAAAAAAACCUACCUGGGUAAGAAAGGGCCACUUACAUCACAAAGCAUUCUUCAAAGAAAAUGUUAAUACGUAAAAUCCUGAUAUGAGGUGAAUUUUCAUUAAAUUGUUUUAAUUUUUAAUCCAAUUGAAUUCACAAUGAUGGUACUUUAUGGUGCAUAUACAAUACUUAUGUGCCAUCUUUUAUUCAUGCAGUACUAAGAAUUAUGUUCAGGGAGUUAUUUAAAACAAGAGAGAAAAUAGAAGAUUCAGCCUUUUUCCUAUGGGUUAUAAUCUAGUAGAGAGUUAGACAAGACAAAACUAGUGGAACUAGAGAAUGGUUCAAUGCUUUAAGGGAAAAAAUGCAAAAACAAAUUCCUGUAGCAGUUGACAGGAAGGAAUGGCAUUUGCUAAAAUAUAUUAAGUGCUGACAGUGUGCUUGGGUCUUCAAGAGGGUCCACUGAAUCCUGCCCUGAUCCUACCCUGAGCUCAGACUAGAUUCAGAAAUAGAAAAGAGUAGCAGAUGCCUGCCAAAAUAUCAUUGCUUUAAAUGACAAAGACUAAAUUGUGGAAGUUAUCCUAACAUGAGAGGGGUCUUCUACUCUCCUCCAGCUAAAACCCACCUCCCAAGAAGAAAAGCAGAGGAGGUGAGUUGUGCUGUUUGUUCUUCCUAAAUUCACCAAUGAGAUUAAAGCACUCUUUUCUGGUAAAAAAAAGAAAAAAGAGGGAGAGAGAAUAUGAAUUACAUAAAGCAAAAUACUAAUCCUGGUUCUAUAAUAAAAUGGGCAUGGAAAGCCAAAGCAAUUAAAGGGCGUCAUCAGCAGCAGCAUUAUCAUUAACAUCAGCAUCAUCAUCUUGGAAUUCUUAGACAAUAAAGCCUAUUCUAGGGUGGCAUGCAUGACAUGGGCUUUUGUUUAGUUAAAAAAAGAUGUCACACAAUCUUCAGCAUAUAUCCCUUUUCAAGUUCCUGUAUUGGUCAUCCUGGCUCCCCAACAUUUGAUCUCUUGUUUAUUGUUCUGACUGAACACCCUAAGUCCUCCCUCUGAAACAUAAUAUUUUUUUCUAUCUGGGAGACGACACUUAAAAGAAUAAGUCAGUGCCUUACUGUGCUCAUACUAACAGAUGUUAGAAAGUAGCUCAAGCUGGGAGAACGAGCCCCUAACCAGCUGUUUCAUAGCCUGUAAUUACAGCCUUAAUAAAUGAAUCGUUUCCUUCAGCUGGCACUAGUUGGGAUCUACGCAUAGCAGUUUGUGUGUUAGCUGUUCUGGAAGCAUUUCACUGCUUGCUGAUGCUUUAGCACGGAGGUCUGUGAAAUCAGGUAUCUAACAAAAAUCACCCUGAUAGUAUAUAAAGUAUAUGCAAAUUUAGUGACUGGUGGUGGGCUCAUAUGAGAAAGAGAACUUAUCAAGUCCUUGGUAAUAUAAUUGGCUUAACUUAUUAGACUGCAGUUUAGAAUAUAAAAAUCAAACUAUAAAAUUAAUCUGCUGUACAGUGUGCUAAUUAACCAGCUGGGCCAGCUUUGAUAGUCUUAAUUUUACAGAUUUCCUUGAGGACAUUAUCUAGUUUGGUGACUCAGAGCUGUAUCUCCCUCCUGCUAGGACUUAAUAGUAAUGGCUCCUGUUUUUUUUUUUUCCUCAGGAUGUCAGAGACUUCAUCUUUAUUUCUUUUGUUAGAUUAUAUCCUUUUCACAUCGAAAUCGCACUGGGGACAUUGAUAUUAGACAUUGCAUUAUAAAAGGCCAGAUUUUCCUAUGUCUAUCUGCACAGUUUUUUCUCUGGGGUGAUUAAUGGUCAUAUUUCAGAACAAUGAGUCAUAUUUCAGAACAAUCAUCCCAGAGUGAAAUAGAGGAGACAGAAAUAAAAUAGCAACAAGGGGUAGAUUGAAGAUAAGAAUGUGGGCUUGGUGCAAAGACAAAGAUGAAGUGGGAAAUCAAUUAGCUGCAAGCUUCUUCAAAAUAAAGCAAUGUGGGUUGUGAAGAAGGGGAAUGAGCAAUAAAAAUCAGUUCUCUUCCAAGCCUUAAGCUUACAAAGCAAUCCAGCUAGGGAGACAAAUAAAACAAUACAAGCAAAAACAUGUCUUAGAAUAACAUUUUUGAUGAUAAAGAUAAUAUAUGCUUGAUAUGGGGCAUUCAUAAAAUAUAAAGAAAAAAAUUACCUGGAGAUCACCAUUUGUGAAUAUUUCUAUGUAUUUUCUUACAGCCUUUAUUCUUCCCUAAAUUUUCUUUUCUACUCAUCUG
This is a long non-coding RNA of Pan troglodytes (chimpanzee), 4887 nucleotides long. The record is from Ensembl. NCBI's taxonomy places the organism in Eukaryota, Metazoa, Chordata, Mammalia, Primates, Hominidae.